Molecule: ribosomal RNA, 513 nt
Filed under: uncultured bacterium
Lineage: Bacteria
Description: bacterial SSU rRNA
Rfam family: Bacterial small subunit ribosomal RNA
Source: RNAcentral
UCAGGACGAACGCUGGCGGCGUGCCUAAUACAUGCAAGUAGAACGCUGAGGACUGGUGCUUGCACUGGUCUAAGGAGUUGCGAACGGGUGAGUAACGCGUAGGUAACCUACCUCAUAGCGGGGGGAUAACUAUUGGAAACGAUAGCUAAUACCGCAUGACAAUAGGGUACACAUGUACCCUAUUUAAAAGGGGCAAAUGCUUCACUAUGAGAUGGACCUGCGUUGUAUUAGCUAGUUGGUAAGGUAACGGCUUACCAAGGCGACGAUACAUAGCCGACCUGAGAGGGUGAUCGGCCACACUGGGACUGAGACACGGCCCAGACUCCUACGGGAGGCAGCAGUAGGGAAUCUUCGGCAAUGGGGGGAACCCUGACCGAGCAACGCCGCGUGAGUGAAGAAGGUUUUCGGAUCGUAAAGCUCUGUUGUUAGAGAAGAACGGUAAUGGGAGUGGAAAAUCCAUUACGUGACGGUAACUAACCAGAAAGGGACGGCUAACUACGUGCCAGCCGCCGC